AUACGGAGGGUGCAAGCGUUAAUCGGAAUUACUGGGCGUAAAGCGUACGUAGGCGGUUCGUUAAGUUAGAUGUGAAAGCCCCGGGCUUAACCUGGGAACUGCAUUUAAAACUGGCGAACUAGAGUUGAGUAGAGGGGAGUGGAAUUUCAGGUGUAGCGGUGAAAUGCGUAGAGAUCUGAAGGAACACCAGUGGCGAAGGCGACUCCCUGGACUCAAACUGACGCUGAGGUACGAAAGCGUGGGUAGCAAACGGUAUUAGAAACCCUAGUAGUCC
Molecule: ribosomal RNA, 274 nt
Filed under: uncultured bacterium
Lineage: Bacteria
Description: partial 16S ribosomal RNA
Rfam family: Bacterial small subunit ribosomal RNA
Source: RNAcentral